Long non-coding RNA from Neopelma chrysocephalum (saffron-crested tyrant-manakin), 1596 nucleotides. RefSeq lists it as uncharacterized. The transcript has 3 exons. NCBI's taxonomy places the organism in Eukaryota, Metazoa, Chordata, Aves, Passeriformes, Pipridae. The record is from RefSeq and is a predicted model, not a curated record.
UCCGGCCGCGGGGAGCCGGGGUCGUGCCAGAGCAGGGAAGAACGAGGGCAGCCCUUUCUCCGUUCCUCCCGUGCUCCGGGACCCCGAGCAGAGCUGUCCGUCUGUCCCCAUGUCCCUAUGUCUGUCCACAGGCAGCCCCAGGAGCUGGCACGGACCGUGCCGCGGGUCGGGCACAGGCUGCUCUCACCUCUGCCUGCGGAACUUCUAUAACUGCCGACAGCAGUUCUUUUCCCUGCCAUCCAUAAGGUGCAGCUCAUCUGACACCUGCCAGACGGGGAAGGUCCUGCCUGGGAGGGAAAGGGCUACAGGAGAGGAAACAAAAAAAUGCUCCAACCGGACGCUGCCGCGCGGGUCACAAGAGAGGCAAGACCGCAGAGAAAUACAGUCAGGAAAUCCGCUUUUAUUAAAUCUCUACAGCUCUCCCUCCUCUGCACGAGCCCUUCGCAGCCACGGGCCAGAGGGAGCGCGGCCGGCUGGGCUGUGCCCGGCUGGGGACGGGCACCAAUUCAUCGCUGCCGUGCUCAGGGAGGUUUUUCGGCCCCGUCCGGGAUUCACCCAACGGCUGUAAAGGAGCUCGUACGACGUCUCUUUCCAGGGAUAAAGGAGCCAAACGAGACCGGAGGGUUCCCUCGGUCCGAGGCAAAGGCGUUGGUCGAGUGUCGCCGCCCGGUCCCGCCUGCGGGGGGGCGUCUCCUCCAGGUGAAUUGUACACAAGCCAGUCCCCCAUUCCCUAUCCAGGCUGUGAGUGUUCGUGCCCUUGGCACAGUUGGCUCUGGCUGGGCAGGAACUGAGAGCAGGACACGAGGCAGAGUGGAUCAGCUGCCCAGGGAACCUCCAGGAGAUGAAGCUACUGGAUCCUCAUUCCAAUCAAGGGAACACAUUCUGUCUCUGGCAGAAGCCGGGAGCCAAAGCAGAUCCCGCCUGGCCAGGCUGGGGGGCAGCAAUUGGAUCCACUCUGGGGGAAACCCCUGUGCCUGCCAGGAGCUGUGACUCCGUUUGUCCUGCCAGCUCCUGACCGGUGUCAGGGCCACUGGGAGGGAUUCAGAAUCCAAAGAAACCCCAAAUCCUACCGAGGGACUCAUCCAAAGGAAGAAAGCCAUUAUUGUCACAAAAAGCUUAAAAACCUGUUAAAAAUUCUAGGACAGCAAUACUGGGAUUCCCAGUAUCCUUAUUAGUGCUCUUGGUUCCAUUUCAAUGUAUCUUUAGUCCCUCAAUGAGCAGCUUGGAGAACUUCCCCUGGGAUUUAGAGGCUGAGCAGGGUCUGCUUUGGAUUGCCUUGCACCUCUGGUCCCAGCUGGUGCAAACACAACUUAGGCCAACGUGGUUAAAGACACUUUCCUACAAAAACAGUUCUGUAUCCCCUAGAAAUUACCCCAAGUUUGCAGAUAAAAAUGUUACCUCUGUCCCCGCUAAGUUAUCCCAGGUUUUCCUGGCUGGGAGCUGCAAGGAGGCUGUAAAUUGAAAGGCAGAAAGAGAAGAUCUGUCAGCAAAAGGCACAAAGAAGGGGACAGGCUUCAGAAAAUAUUUUUACAAUCUAAUGAAUAACUAUUUCCAGUUUCCCAGUGAGAAGAACAUGAACUCACUGCCACCAAGGCC